RNAcentral lists this ribosomal RNA (441 nucleotides) under uncultured Bacteroidota bacterium. Its description in RNAcentral is "bacterial SSU rRNA". It matches the Rfam family "Bacterial small subunit ribosomal RNA", at positions 917 to 1359 of the family's 1533-position model. Lineage: Bacteria; Pseudomonadati; Bacteroidota. The record is from RNAcentral.
GGGCCCGCACAAGCGGAGGAGCAUGUGGUUUAAUUCGAUGAUACGCGAGGAACCUUACCCGGGCUUGAACGUAAGACGAAUGAUGUGGAAACAUAUCAGCCUACGGGCGUUUUGCGAGGUGCUGCAUGGUUGUCGUCAGCUCGUGCCGUGAGGUGUUAGGUUAAGUCCUGCAACGAGCGCAACCCUUACCCUUAGUUGCCAGCACGUUAUGGUGGGGACUCUAUGGGAACUGCCUACGCAAGUAGAGAGGAAGGUGGGGAUGACGUCAAAUCAGCACGGCCCUUAUGUUCGGGGCUACACACGUGCUACAAUGGUAUGUACAGAGGGCAGCCACUACGUGAGUAGGAGCCAAUCCUCAAAAGCAUAUCUCAGUUCGGAUUGGAGUCUGUAACUCGACUCUAUGAAGUUGGAUUCGCUAGUAAUCGCGCAUCAGCCAUGGCG